Long non-coding RNA from Anopheles coluzzii, 6398 nucleotides. RefSeq lists it as uncharacterized. Lineage: Eukaryota; Metazoa; Arthropoda; Insecta; Diptera; Culicidae. The record is from RefSeq and is a predicted model, not a curated record. The transcript has 4 exons.
AGGCGAUAGGAAUAGAUGAUUCGUUAUUACUUGAUGCGUACAAAACAUUAUAAAAAAAUACAUUUAGUUUUUUUUAUUAUUUAACAGUCUACAGUCACCAUCGUCACACCGUGAGCCAAACUUACUUCUGCAAGGGAAAAAAACACUAAUUUUAUGAUUCCUUUCCGUGACCACACCUCCCCAAAUCCUUAUUCCCAACGGUGACUGCCGCACCCCGAAAAAAGAAACACAACCGAUUGGCGCAAACUGACCAUCGGGUGGCACUCUUGUUUUGCUGGUGUACGUUGACCUGCAGUCAAACUUUGCCAAACCAACAUAAACUAAGCGACUAAGGAAAGGUGUCGUCUGUAAGGGACGCGAGGCGCAAACUCUUCCCUCACUACUAGCGCUUGAUUAAACAUUCAUCACACUGCAAGUGAAACAUGCGACCACUAGAUGGAAACCGACCACUAGAUGGCUGCCGCUUUCUACGUCAAGAAAGACAAAUAUUUGUCCAUAGUAGGCUGAGAUGGUUGCCGUCUGCCGACCGUUUCUAAGUUAGGUAAAGUGUUGAUGCCGCUGCGUGUGUAUAAAAAUGGACGACACAACGGAAAAUGACAUGAUUUUCGGUGGGCCACCGUAUGCUUCUGUAUGCGGGGAGGAAAAUUCAAGCCCACCAACUCCAUUAACGAAACCGUAACGGUUCGGGGUUCCCUCUUUGAGCCUUAAAGUGUGUCUUGCAAGACACAAAUAGCAACACGGGUGAGCGUGCUCUAAUCGAGGUGGGAUAAUGUAAUAAUAUUUUUUGUUACAUCCGACUUUUGCACCGUGCUUUUCAGAGCAGCAGCGCGCUUUAAAAUAGCGCAUUUUGGGGCGGGGGUUUUCCCUUUCGGAACACAAUCUUCCCACUGGCCUCAUGGCUGAGCUGAAAGCUACCCCUCCCUCGUUACGGGGGCAUUUUAUGUGGGAAGAAGCAACGCAACCUUCGGCAUUGGCUCUUUGUUGAAGGCUCUUUGUUGAUAAUACCGGGACGACGACAUCGGCAUUCUGCGAAGGCGAAAAUCGCAUCAACCGACCAUCACCAGUCUAAAGGGCACACGGUGUUAUCCAAUGGGCAUCUCCUCUUUUUGUCAUUUGAUGUUUAGUCUUCAUCGCAGAGCGGAGCGCAGAGCGGAUGGAUUAUGGAUGGAGGAAGAUGGAGCCGUUAUUUGAGGCCUGUCCCGCCCUUCUCCCGUUUACUUAAUGUCCCGCGCGCGUUUGGACACACAAAUUUGGAGGAGGUGACAUCCCAUCACGGGGGCAGCGUAGAUUGGGAUCAAAAUAUGGUGUUUCACCUUCUGUUUUCACAGUGACCGCGCGAGUCACACAGCGUAUUCUUGUCUCAACGUUCGUUAUCGCGUCGUUUUGACGGGAGAGCAUAGACGCAAACUAGACGAUGGGCUAUUACGAUAAGAUAGAGUUUUGGGAACGAUUUAUCGUUUUGUAACGUUCGUGUACAAAACAUAGUUUGAUUUUGCGAUUGAAUGCCAUUUUGACUGUAGAAACUGAAAGACCUUUCAAAAGGCUCCGCCAUGCAGACGACUUCAAAACAGCUCCGGUCAACAAAACAGAGAAAGCAAAUAAAUAUUGAACUGCAAACACAAACACUCACACACACACAACAUUCGUCGUACAGAAUCGGAAGCAAGCGAAAUGUGUUUACAUUGUGUAAAAAUAGCAGCAAAACACGGUGGCACCAAAACACCCUCCCAUAACCGCCACGCCACAGAAGAAAUCGAUCAACCGGAAACCGUCCGCAUCGGACGAUGAAAUGUUCCAGAGCAAAGGGGAGAGCAAAGGGGAGCAGUCCUCGAAUAGGUUAAGCAAGGGAGCAACAGCAGUCAAUGGUUGGAAAAUGCACUUUUUCUGGCCAACAGAUGUGGCCCAGCGCUCACAAUCUGCAUCAACACCAGCUUCUUGUCCGCCGCUUGCGAAAGAUGAAAGAUUCCGAUUAAGUAAUCCCGAUACAUCACCGACACCGUACACACUAGUAAGUUGGGUUUUCUAUAUUUUUAGCAUCUCCGGAGCGAGUUCUGGAUAGAGGUUUUAAAAACAUUCACCAACUCCACUCGCCUAAAAACAGUGAGUUGUGAAUAGAGGAAGUGAAAAAUGUUAAUGAAUAUUUUAUCGCUGAAUAAAUUGCUGCAAUACACUCACACACAAACACUACAUAUUUUGAUAAUAGCAGCAUUUAUCAGUAGAGCUUGUGUACAGUUUCUUUCCUUUUUUACUUCUCUCUAUGUUACAUGCAAUCUCUCCUCAAUGGAAAUGUGGAAAAAUAUCCAUUUAUUUUCCCGCUGCAUGUGUGUGGUGGUACCGAUAUGUAUAAAGGCAAAGGUGCACGCGAUCAUCACAAAACACUCUCCUCCCCUUCUCUUCUCCACCACCAAACCAAACCCCCAUUGCUCCUAGGCUCUACGUGGUGUCCGCUUCUAACGGGGUGUUUUUUGGAAAGUUCAGGCGUUUUUCACUUCCCCAAAAUGGAAAACACACACACACACUGUGUGUCGUGUAGAACCGUAUUAACGGUCACGUACGGUGCUUAAUCCUGGAACGAUGGACUAAACAAGGGCCACAACAAGAAAGAAAAACAGGAAAACAAUUUACAACACGUUGGGACUGUUGGGACAUGUUGGGGCUGCAUUGCAUGUACUUUCUUUAACCACCGUUUAUUGGCAAACGGACGAACCUCCAAGGGUUUGUUUUGCUCUCCCAAAUCGACAGCCUUUUUAUUUAAUAUUUAAGGUUUUCUAUUAAGGACAACUUUGUUUCUUUUUUUUUGCUGUCCAACACAUAGAGAAUGUGUCUUUUUUUUUUUUGAUAGAGUCACACGCUUAUCCUUCACUUAAUUUGUUCCCUUCAAAGGUGUGUCCAAAGGGUUAUCGAAUAAAAAGGACACUUUUCCUUUUCCGGUUAUAAAGCGUACAACCAACCAACCAACACCAAACCGAAUUUACUCUCUCCCCACUGGCGGGGCUAAGGAUAAACAUCAAUUUCAAACCCUUUCCACACGCCACACGUGCAAAUGCGUUCCCAAAGCGUUCGAUAUUUGCGCGGCAACUUAAAUAAAUUUACAGGUUUCCAUCACUGCGCCUUCGAGAAACCUUUCGAGCCUUGUUUUUUUUUUAUUUUGAAACCCAAAAGAAGAAAUUGUGGUGUAAAAUAUUAUACGCUUUCGGUGGAAACCAUUUCAAAUACGGCUACGGGGUGUUAUUUUCCCCAUCCCGACCCCUUUUUAACGUCUUUAUGCGUGGGUCGUUAGAGCGAAUUCAUAUUUAUGUCUCCAUAAAUCUGACAUUCAAAUGCAUCUUCCUUUUUGUUGUUCCUCCCCUUUAAACGAAAAACAGGUUCUUUAAGAUGCUUUUUAAUAAAGAGAUAUCUUUGCAGGGCUGAUUAGCAUAUCUUUUUAGAGAAGAAGUUGCAAAAAACUAGGUACAAUCUUUCCAAAAAGACAUUGGAGUGGAGCAAAGUGCCUUAUGCUUUCCCGGAAAAGGACCACUUGAAAUGCCCAUGGUAGUAAAAUGGAAGGAGAGAGCAACAAAAAAGACACAAAACUAAGCUGAACGAAAGCAAAACAACACAACAGUCGGAAUGUGUACUAAUAUGUACUAAAAAGAGGCUCCUUGAAGGACACAAAAUCGAGCGAAAGAAAAACUUCUACUCUCCCGGAAAACAUUAUGUAAGGGAAAAGGUUGAUAGUACAGGGUCCCACUAAAAUAGUGUGACCUGAAUACGCCACUCUGCACGCGAAGUAAUCAGCAGCACGUAAUUAGAGGUGAGGGAAAUUGCCCACAGCAACAGCAACGGAGCAGAAUCAAAGUUGGGGGCAAUUUUCUGUGUUUUAAAGUCGCUUUCAUCAUGCAGAUUUGUGAUUUAUAAGUCCAGUAAGAAUAAGUACCAUCAAACGAUGUGUAAUUUCUAGGCCCUCGUUUCGUUGCGUUUGUGAAGGGUUUUCUCUACACUACAGGUCGUAUCUAAAGAAUUCAAUACCCUGAAACGAUCCUCGCAGUUACUGAUAACGAUACAUGGAUGAUGUUAUCAUUAGUACCUUUAUCAAAAGCAAACUUUCUUUACGUUUCAGAGCUGCUAGACCAUCCAGUGUGUGGUGAAAUUGAAUCGAAAUUUUCGGUUUUCUAAUUAUACGAAUUUAACCGGAACUAUCACGAUGUUUCGUAACACACCAUCCUGAUAAUCACUGGCAAUUUAAAAGCGUUUAUUUACAAACUAAAACGCAUUUUUUUUUUAAACCAACCCACAAUCUUACCCAAAUUAUAACCGUUUGAUGUAUUUAGGGCAAUAAAAACGAUGGGAACCCACUAACUGGGACACUAACCGAAGCAUGAAAGUUGGACCCGUUGGCGUGCACAAACUGCAUGCGACCAACCACUCUCCUCCAAAAAAAAAACACUUCAUUGACAGUCAUCGAUUUGUGUACCAGCAUUUGACACCACAGAGAGCUCUUCCAUCGAACCUUCGUGCGGUGUUGUCACCGCAAUAGCACCUACACACACAUGUCAAACUAUUUUCCGAACCAGUUAUGACUUGGUGGCUAAUGAAGCCGUAGAGUACCGAUGAAUAGAGCCACGGGUGCGCGUGUGUGAACUACCUCUGACGUGCGGGCUGGAGCCGCGAUGGAUUCAAGGACGGUAAAACAAAUGACGACUUUUCACCUUUAUUUAUUAGCGGGACGCUUUAAGGCGAGGAAGCAAACGGUCUCCGAACGAACUCAAAUCGUUCUGGGACUGGGAACUUGCAUUUAAAGUGCUUUAUAUGUGGAUUAUAUCAACUAUUUGGGUUCUUUUCCCCCCUAUAAUUAAAAGAUAUCAAUGCGACUUUCCAACCAGCACUUAAAAACGUGUCAGAUUGCACAACAACACAGCAGCAGCUCAUGACUUCGCCAAAUCGCAGCAAGCGAAAGUUGCAUACCAAAAAACAGUGCGCAAGAUAAGCCGCCUCUUUCCGUCCGUCCGAAAGCAAUGGGCGUGAAAAUGAAAGAUGACCAGCAAUGAUGAGCAACACAGCUCAUUCAUCGAGCGGGGGAAAAUACACGCACCUUUUCACACCGCCCGGCAAACAAUGCGAGGGUUGGUGAGGUACCUCUCGCUCUAAUUUCUCUAGUCUAGUCUAGUUGCCUCGCUUCCUCCUAUAGCGAUUCUGUCGAGCUGAGCUUUCACGUCCCUCACCACCGAUCUCCUUCCUACCCCUCGCCUAAGAUCGUCUGCCGUCUCGCCUGACACCUUUCGUUGUGUUGGUGCUAUGCGGCUGCUGUCACUGUAGAAGUCAGGUUGUGUGUGUGUAAAAAAACGUAAACAGUGUUGUUGGCUGAUCAAUUUUGGUAAGUUUUUUAAUAAUUAAGUUCUUAAUUUUACGUAAGUAAGUGCCAUUUUAGCUAAAUUAAGUGGUAGAAGUCCUGCCCAAUGCGUGCUGGCUCCGUCGGAAGCGGUACGUGCAUGUACCGGCGUAGGAAAGUGGUGUGGUGAACAACACAGCACAAGGCAACGGAUAAAAUGCAGAAACGAUAUGGGCCUGCCGCGGGUGUUUGCCACUGUACGUUGCGUUGUGUAUGAUUCGGUAUGUUCGCCAAUUUUCCUCUAUCCUGGAACGUGGGCUUACGAGGAACCAUUUAAGAACAUCCUCCGGAAGCUGUACGGCGACGAGUCGGGCUCUACCAGCACAACACGCUAGAGGCCCAGCCGGCACCGGGUGCCCCGAUUGCGCCGUGAGACGGUGUCGAGUGCGCUCGUUAACAACGUUCGGGGCAGGAAUGCAACCCUUCGGAUCAUUAUCCUCUGCCUCACAAUAGCUGCAGCAGCAAAAGGACCGAAACGACCGCACUACUGAUUGCGGUUAAAUUUCCUGGCAGGAGAAAAAAUCCCACAAGUUUAUCGAUUUCAUCGACGGCCGCUCGCUGGCAGGAUCAACAUGCCACCGAAUAACCCCGGAAAGGCGACAAACACUCAUCUCCAGCGGCAAAUUGUUAACAUCAAUCCUCUUCCGCACAUCUACACGACAUCAUGAUAAUAGUGUUAUUGUGUAAAUUGUAAAAAAAAAUACGUUAAUGAGUUAAGAUUAAUCUUAAGUGCGCUUUAAGGCAUACAUCGAUAUGCCUAAUUUUAGGUUAAGUGUUAUGAAAUGCGCGUGUGUGUGAAGGGGCGGAAUAAGCGCUAAUUUUGCCCCGUGGUCUUGAGGGGCCCCAAAAAAGGAACCCACCCCCCACUCGCAAGUAAAAUUGCUACCCAAUCCUUCUCUAGUUUAGAGCAUUUCCCUGCUAGACGCUUAAACCAAACUUACAUUUAGUCGACUGCUUAGGGCAUCCACCCGUAUGUGCGGGUUUUACACUACAUUUUAGAUAAAUAAAUCUAGUUUAUAUUCUCAUAAAA